Molecule: ribosomal RNA, 816 nt
Filed under: uncultured bacterium
Lineage: Bacteria
Description: bacterial SSU rRNA
Rfam family: Bacterial small subunit ribosomal RNA
Source: RNAcentral
AGAGUUUUUUCCUGGCUCAGGAUGAACGCUGGCGGCAUGCCUAAUACAUGCAAGUCGAACGAGAGGAAGGAAAGCUUGCUUUUCUGAAUCUAGUGGCGAACGGGUGAGUAACACGUAGGUAACCUGCCCAUGUGCCCGGGAUAACCUCUGGAAACGGAUGCUAAAACCGGAUAGGUAGCAGACAAGCAUUUGACUGCUAUUAAAGUGGCUAAGGCCAUGAACAUGGAUGGACCUGCGGUGCAUUAGCUAGUUGGUGAGGUAACGGCCCACCAAGGCGACGAUGCAUAGCCGGCCUGAGAGGGCGGACGGCCACAUUGGGACUGAGACACGGCCCAAACUCCUACGGGAGGCAGCAGUAGGGAAUUUUCGUCAAUGGGGGGAACCCUGAACGAGCAAUGCCGCGUGAGUGAAGAAGGUCUUCGGAUCGUAAAGCUCUGUUGUAAGAGAAAAACGACAUUCAUAGGGAAUGAUGAGUGAGUGAUGGUAUCUUACCAGAAAGUCACGGCUAACUACGUGCCAGCAGCCGCGGUAAUACGUAGGUGGCGAGCGUUAUCCGGAAUGAUUGGGCGUAAAGGGUGCGUAGGUGGCAGAACAAGUCUGGAGUAAAAGGUAUGGGCUCAACCCGUACUGGCUCUGGAAACUGUUCAGCUAGAGAACAGAAGAGGACGGCGGAACUCCAUGUGUAGCGGUAAAAUGCGUAGAUAUAUGGAAGAACACCGGUGGCGAAGGCGGCCGUCUGGUCUGUUGCUGACACUGAAGCACGAAAGCGUGGGGAGCAAAUAGGAUUAGAUACCCUAGUAGUCCACGCCGUAAACG